GCAGUUAUGGCUGAGUGGUUAAAGCGUUGGACUCUAUCUCCAAGGGGGCUCUUAUCCCCGCGUAGGUUCGAAUCCUACUGACUGCA
Molecule: non-coding RNA, 86 nt
Organism: Trichonephila clavipes
Lineage: Eukaryota; Metazoa; Arthropoda; Arachnida; Araneae; Nephilidae
Source: the annotation of a GenBank genome assembly